CCUACGGGAGGCAGCAGUAGGGAAUCUUUCACAAUGGGCGAAAGCCUGAUGGAGCAACGCCGCGUGCAGGAUGAAGGCCUUCGGGUUGUACACUGCUUUUAUAAGCGAGAAAUAUGAUGGUAACUUAUGAAUAAGGAUCGGCUAACUACGUGCCAGCAGCCGCGGUCAUACGUAGGAUCCGAGCAUUAUCCGGAGUGACUGGGUGUAAAGAGUUGCGUAGGUGGCAUAAUAAGUAGCUAGUGAAAUCUGGUGGCUCAACCAUUCAGACUAUUAGCUAAACUGUUAAGCUCGAGACCGUUAGGGGUAACUGGAAUUUCUAGUGUAGGAGUGAAAUCCGUAGAUAUUAGAAGGAACACCAAUAGCGUAGGCAGGUUGCUGGGACGGUUCUGACACUAAGGCACGAAAGCGUAGGGAGCAAACGGGAUUAGAUACCCGAGUAGUC
Molecule: ribosomal RNA, 442 nt
Filed under: uncultured bacterium
Lineage: Bacteria
Description: partial 16S ribosomal RNA
Rfam family: Bacterial small subunit ribosomal RNA
Source: RNAcentral